RNAcentral lists this ribosomal RNA (238 nucleotides) under uncultured bacterium. Its description in RNAcentral is "partial 16S ribosomal RNA". It matches the Rfam family "Bacterial small subunit ribosomal RNA", at positions 15 to 236 of the family's 1533-position model. The record is from RNAcentral.
AAUCAUGGCUCAGGAUAAACGCUGGCGGCGUGCAUAACACAUGCAAGUCGAACGAUGAACCUUAUUAGAUUUCUUCGGAAUGAAAAUAAGUGGAUUAGUGGCGAACGGGUGAGUAACACGUGAGUAACCUGCCUUACACAAGGGGAUAGCCUUUGGAAACGAAGAAUAAUACCCUAUAAAGUCAAUCAAUCGCAUGAUAGAAUGACCAAAGAUUUAUCGGUGUAAGAUGGACUUGCGU